Molecule: signal recognition particle RNA, 148 nt
Filed under: Pan troglodytes (chimpanzee)
Lineage: Eukaryota; Metazoa; Chordata; Mammalia; Primates; Hominidae
Description: Metazoan signal recognition particle RNA
Rfam family: Metazoan signal recognition particle RNA
About the family: The signal recognition particle (SRP) is a universally conserved ribonucleoprotein. It is involved in the co-translational targeting of proteins to membranes.
Source: Rfam by way of RNAcentral
UCUGGGCAUGGUGGCUCAUGCCUGUACUCCCAGCUACUCCGGAGGAUGAGGCAGGAGGAUCACCUGAGCCCAGGGUUUUGUGGCUGCAGUGAGCCAAGAUUAUGCCACUGCACUCCAACCUGGGCAACAGAGUGAGACCUUGUCUCUA